UUCCAUCACUUUCUGUUGAACUUCUGUUAUUAUUGCUCAUAAGUUUUAAAGAUUUUAUAAUAUUAUGGUGAAGAGCUGUUUGAAUAACGAAUCACCGAAAUUUACUAUAAAGUUGACCUCACCACUUUUGCUUUCAAAUCGAAUAGACGACUGAACUAGCUCGUUAUAGUCUAUUUUGUUAUUUAGAAAAAUUUUAAGGAUAUGCAAUUGUAAAACCUAAUGCUGAGUGUAAUGUGGUGAAGUCAAUAUACAACGUUGUGAUAUUAUUUCAGAAAAAUUUAAUUCAAACUAACCAUAUAACAUCCUUAACCGAAUUGUUUUUCUAUCGAAAUCAGCUUAUAGGGCAUGACUGUAUUUACAAACUUUAUGUUA
Non-coding RNA from Schizosaccharomyces pombe (fission yeast), 372 nucleotides. Lineage: Eukaryota; Fungi; Ascomycota; Schizosaccharomycetes; Schizosaccharomycetales; Schizosaccharomycetaceae. The record is from the annotation of a GenBank genome assembly.